GGCGUGCACUGGUCCGGCGGGAUCUUUCCUCCUGGGGAGCCCUAUGGCCUUUACUGACUGUAGGGGGAACCAGGACUUUUACUGUGAAAAAAUUAGAGUGUUCAAAGCAGGCCUUUGCUCGGAUACAUUAGCAUGGAAUAAUAGAAUAGGACGUGUGGUUCUAUUUUGUUGGUUUCUAGGACCGCCGUAAUGAUUAAUAGGGAUGGUCGGGGGCGUCAGUAUUCGGCUGUCAGAGGUGAAAUUCUUGGAUUUGCUGAAGACUAACUACUGCGAAAGCAUUCGCCAAGGAUGUUUUCAUUAAUCAGGGAACGAAAGUUAGGGGAUCGAAGACGAUCAGAUACCGUCGUAGUCUUAACCAUAAACUAUGCCGACUAGGGAUCGGACGGUGUUUUUAUGAUGACCCGUUCGGCACCUUACGAGAAAUCAAAGUUUUUGGGUUCUGGGGGGAGUAUGGUCGCAAGGCUGAAACUUAAAGAAAUUGACGGAAGGGCACCACCAGGCGUGGAGCCUGCGGCUUAAUUUGACUCAACACGGGGAAACUCACCAGGUCCAGACAAAAUAAGGAUUGACAGAUUGAGAGCUCUUUCUUGAUCUUUUGGAUGGUGGUGCAUGGCCGUUCUUAGUUGGUGGAGUGAUUUGUCUGCUUAAUUGCGAUAACGAACGAGACCUUAACCUGCUAAAUAGCCCGACCCGCAUCUGCGGGCCGCUGGCUUCUUAGAGGGACUAUCGG
RNAcentral lists this ribosomal RNA (730 nucleotides) under uncultured eukaryote. RNAcentral describes it as "SSU rRNA". It matches the Rfam family "Eukaryotic small subunit ribosomal RNA", at positions 671 to 1426 of the family's 1831-position model. The record is from RNAcentral.